UUGUUUCAAUUGAGUCACUUUUGCCCUUAUAGUUUUCGAUCUGAAGCACUUCAAGGACAAUCCCAAUUUUCCGUCAAAUUAUUCUAACUUACGUUAUUUAUUGAGGGGCAUUUUGCAAAACACGAAACUGAAUGAAGCUUUGUAUGGUCUGAAUUAAUGUAUUGAGCCCAUUUGUAGCCCUAAACAAUUUGAUUAAUAUGGUAAAUGCAGAAGAGAAUUCCUUUUGUUGAAUUUCUUU
Molecule: long non-coding RNA, 238 nt
Filed under: Prunus persica (peach)
Lineage: Eukaryota; Viridiplantae; Streptophyta; Magnoliopsida; Rosales; Rosaceae
Description: long non-coding RNA (PPER_LNC001602)
Source: RNAcentral